UAAACAUCAACACAACAACAACAACCCAACACAAUAUAUAUCUAUAUCAAAUGCUAUAUCAUCUACCAUUCCACUAUAGUGCCUUAUUCAAAAUUCAAAAGACAAGGUUUGAUAUGGUGUAUACUUGGCCCUUGGAUAUCUGAAUCAUAUUUCAUUCACCACAAGUGAUUAUGGAUUAGUAAACAAGUUUAUAGAGACAGGACUUUAGCCUAGCCCAAACUUUCCCUGGGGAAAGAAUAUCCUGGGACAAAACCUCCCCGGGGUAAGUUUGGCCUAGGCCACAUUCUCCCCGAGGAAAGUUUAGACCGGGGAAGAAAUGGCCUGCUACACCACUUCUACACAUG
This is a long non-coding RNA of Haliotis rubra (blacklip abalone), 344 nucleotides long. RefSeq lists it as uncharacterized. The record is from RefSeq and is a predicted model, not a curated record. NCBI's taxonomy places the organism in Eukaryota, Metazoa, Mollusca, Gastropoda, Lepetellida, Haliotidae. The transcript is spliced from 3 exons.